Molecule: ribosomal RNA, 254 nt
Filed under: uncultured bacterium
Lineage: Bacteria
Description: partial 16S ribosomal RNA
Rfam family: Bacterial small subunit ribosomal RNA
Source: RNAcentral
UACGUAGGGUGCGAGCGUUGUCCGGAAUUAUUGGGCGUAAAGAGCUCGUAGGCGGUCUGUCGCGUCGGUCGUGAAAACUUGGGGCUUAACCCUGAGCUUGCGGUCGAUACGGGCAUGACUGGAGUUCGGCAGGGGAGACUGGAAUUCCUGGUGUAGCGGUGAAAUGCGCAGAUAUCAGGAGGAACACCGGUGGCGAAGGCGGGUCGCUGGGCCGAUACUGACGCUGAGGAGCGAAAGCGUGGGGAGCGAACAGG